UGGAGCAGUCAGAACACACACGACAUUUAUCAAUUAAAUUUGUCAUCUUAUAUGGGUGCAAUUCAUGGCACCCCCAAACAAUUACAAUAGUAACAUCAGAGAUCACAGAUCACAAUAACAGAUAUAAUAAUAUGAAAUAUUGUGAGAUUACCGAAAUAUGACACAGAGACGUGAGAUGUAUCUUGUGAUUUUUCCAGAAGGUACAAGGUAUAAUCCAGAGCAAACAAAAGUCCUUUCAGCUAGUCAGGCAUUUGCUGCCCAACGUGGCCUUGCAGUAUUAAAACAUGUGCUAACACCACGAAUAAAGGCAACUCACGUUGCUUUUGAUUGCAUGAAGAAUUAUUUAGAUGCAAUUUAUGAUGUUACGGUGGUUUAUGAAGGGAAAGACGAUGGAGGGCAGCGAAGAGAGUCACCGACCAUGACGGAAUUUCUCUGCAAAGAAUGUCCAAAAAUUCAUAUUCACAUUGAUCGUAUCGACAAAAAAGAUGUCCCAGAAGAACAAGAACAUAUGAGAAGAUGGCUGCAUGAACGUUUCGAAAUCAAAGAUAAGAUGCUUAUAGAAUUUUAUGAGUC
RNAcentral lists this unclassified non-coding RNA (573 nucleotides) under Homo sapiens (human). RNAcentral describes it as "1-acylglycerol-3-phosphate O-acyltransferase 5 (ENSG00000284980.2)". The record is from RNAcentral. Lineage: Eukaryota; Metazoa; Chordata; Mammalia; Primates; Hominidae.